GAUGAAGAACGCAGCGAAAUGCGAUAAGUAAUGUGAAUUGCAGAAUUCAGUGAAUCAUCGAAUCUUUGAACGCACAUUGCGCCCGCCAGUAUUCUGGCGGGCAUGCCUGUUCGAGCGUCAUUUCAACCCUCAGGGCCCUUUUGGACCUGGCGUUGGGGCUCGGCCGCUACCCUGCGGCCGUCCCCGAAAGAUAGUGGCGGUCUCGCUGUAGCCUCCUCUGCGUAGUAGUUACAUCUCGCACUGGAACGCGGCGCGGCCAUGCCGUUAAACACCCCACUUCUCAAGGUUGACCUCGGAUCAGGUAGGAAUACCCGCUGAACUUAAGCAUAUCAAUAAGCGGAGA
RNAcentral lists this unclassified non-coding RNA (343 nucleotides) under soil metagenome. Its description in RNAcentral is "partial contains 5.8S ribosomal RNA, internal transcribed spacer 2, and large subunit ribosomal RNA". The stretch from base 1 to 120 matches the Rfam family "5.8S ribosomal RNA", at positions 35 to 154 of the family's 154-position model. The record is from RNAcentral.